Molecule: ribosomal RNA, 253 nt
Filed under: uncultured prokaryote
Description: partial 16S ribosomal RNA
Rfam family: Bacterial small subunit ribosomal RNA
Source: RNAcentral
UACGGAGGGUGCGAGCGUUGUUCGGAAUCACUGGGCGUAAAGCGCGUGUAGGCGGCCUUGUAAGUCUGGUGUGAAAGCCCGGGGCUUACCCCCGGAAGUGCACUGGAAACUGCAGGGCUAGAGUACCGGAGAGGAAGGUGGAAUUCCUGGUGUAGCGGUGAAAUGCGUAGAUAUCAAGUGGAACACCAGUGGCGAAGGCGAGUCUCUGGACAUUUCCUGACGCUGAGGCACGAAAGCCAGGGGAGCAAACGGG